UACACAGUUCCCACUGCCACAAACAAAUCUACAGAGCCACAGCAACGGUGAUAAUGCGUUUGUCAUACAACUGUGGUCUAUGUUUAAUAUUUAUAGCCUUUUUAUUUUUGCUAAAAAUAGUACCUGCCCAAGGGUAUUCGCAUACUGGGGAUCGAUAAGAUCGCGGUGCGACAUUGGAUUUUAUUGCUUUAAAUGGGCUGUCGGCAAAUGGAUUGGAUGACGAAAUCGUGUCAAAUAAAUAUGUGAAAAGGCGUUUCAAAUAAAAUAAAUUUCCACCUUUUUGUCUCUUUAUUAUUUAUUUAUUUGAAAGGCUAAAAAAAUACACAAAAGUAUCGAGCAGAUAAAUAAACAGGCAAAUAAAUCGUUGUGCUAUAGACAGAAAACAUACCAAAUUGUUAGAAGUUCGAAAAAUUAGAUAGUGAAGAGAAUCUGUCUACUAUUAGGAUUCAUCGUCAAAAACACUGUGCCAGCCUUCCUCAUUUACUCAAUAAUCACGCGCCGAGCAGGUGAUCUAAGUCAGUUACGGUUUAUUCGGUUACUGCUGGUUGGCCAACUAUCGCAUCUUUGUGGUCUUUUGUUUGUACAUAUUUACAUAAGUGUAUGUAUGUAGGUACACUAUGGAGAAAAACUGAAUAUUUGGAUAUCAGAGAAACAAAGAAAUUGGCUUAUCAGCUCAAAGCGUAGGAAGAGGAUACCAUCUGCCAAACAUACCAUUUGUUGUAUAAACAAAGAAGAAUGUCAAAAACGAACGAGGUUUAAAAGAGCAUAGAAGAUUCCAAAAAAACAAAAAAAAAAUAAAAAUAAAUAAAAUGGGUAUUGUAAUUGGGAAGCAGAACAAUAUUAUAUUUAGCAUUAAGAAGCAUAAAAUGUAAAUUAUGAGGUGAAUGAAGGACCUUUCAAUUUAGAUUCUUUCAGGUUUCACUAUUUUUAUUCAAAAUACGGCUCUUAACAAUUACUAUAUUUAUGUGAAAAAUUGCAUUACUCAACUCCACCAUGAUCACUGCCACAGGUAAAAUAUUAAAAAAAAGCCAAACAGUCGGCUCAUGAAUGCCUAAUUGCUAAGAACGUCGAGAUACAGUCCGGUUCACAUGAGUAGAGGUCACUAACGCCAAUGCUACAAUGCCCGCCGAUUGAGAAGCCACGCGACCUUCCUGGAAGAAUUGUGUGUACAUCCGCCAUUUUAAAUGAUUAAAAUGAAAAAAGAAUGUAUAUUAUUUUAAUGUAUAAAUAAACUGU
Anastrepha ludens (Mexican fruit fly) is the source of this 1236-nucleotide long non-coding RNA. RefSeq lists it as uncharacterized. The record is from RefSeq and is a predicted model, not a curated record. The transcript has 4 exons. NCBI's taxonomy places the organism in Eukaryota, Metazoa, Arthropoda, Insecta, Diptera, Tephritidae.